RNAcentral lists this ribosomal RNA (1508 nucleotides) under human gut metagenome. RNAcentral describes it as "bacterial LSU rRNA". It matches the Rfam family "Bacterial large subunit ribosomal RNA", at positions 925 to 2451 of the family's 2925-position model. The record is from RNAcentral.
GGUAUUGCACUUACCGAAGACUAUCAAACUCCGAAUGCCGUAUUCUUUUGCUUGGGAGUCAGACUAUGGGUGAUAAGAUUCAUAGUCAAGAGGGCAACAGCCCAGAUCGUCAGCUAAGGUCCCUAAAUGUAAGUUAAGUGGUAAAGGAUGUGGAAUUGCACAGACAACCAGGAUGUUGGCUUAGAAGCAGCCACUCAUUUAAAGAGUGCGUAAUAGCUCACUGGUCGAGUGAUUCUGCGCCGAAAAUUUCCGGGGCUAAAACUUACUACCGAAGCUACGGCAUCAUUAUGAUGGGUAGGGGAGCUUUCUAUGCGGCUUGAAGCAUGACCGUAAGGACAUGUGGACUGCAUAGAAGUGAGAAUGUUGGCAUGAGUAGCGAGAUGUGGGUGAGAAUCCCACAGGCCGUAAACCCAAGGUUUCCAGGGGAAGGUUCGUCCGCCCUGGGUUAGUCAGGACCUAAGCCGAGGCCGAAAGGCGUAGGUGAUGGACAACAGGUUGAUAUUCCUGUACCACCAAUAACCGUUUGAGAAAUGGGAUGACACAGUAGGAUAAGCUAACCGCACUGUUGGUUAUGUGCGGGCAAGUAUUGAGGCAGUUCCGAUAGGCAAAUCCGUCGGAAUAAUGCUGGGGUACGAUGCGGAGCGAAAUUUAGUAGCGAAGUAGCUGAUUUCACACUGUCGAGAAAAGUCUCUAUCGAGGUUAAAGGUGCCUGUACCGCAAACCGACACAGGUGGGUGAGGAGAGUAUCCUAAGGCCAGCGAGAGAACUGUUGUUAAGGAACUCGGCAAAAUGACCCCGUAACUUAGGGAGAAGGGGUGCCUUCGAAAGAAGGCCGCAGAGAAUAGGCCCAAGCGACUGUUUACCAAAAACAUAGGUUUCUGCUAAGUCGCAAGACGAUGUAUAGGAGCUGACGCCUGCCCGGUGCUGGAAGGUUAAGGGGAUCUGUUAGAGCAAUCGAAGCAGUGAACUUAAGCCCCAGUAAACGGCGGCCGUAACUAUAACGGUCCUAAGGUAGCGAAAUUCCUUGUCGGGUAAGUUCCGACCCGCACGAAAGGCGUAACGAUUUGGGCACUGUCUCAACAACAGACUCGGUGAAAUUGUAAUACCGGUGAAGAUGCCGGUUACCUGCGACAGGACGGAAAGACCCCAUGGAGCUUUACUGUAGCUUGACGUUGGGUCUUGGUACUACAUGUACAGGAUAGGUGGGAGACUAUGAAGCAUGGACGCCAGUCUGUGUGGAGUCAUCCUUGGGAUACCACCCUUGUAGUACUGGGAUUCUAACCAGAGGCCAUGAAUCUGGUCUUGGGACACUGUCAGGUGGGCAGUUUGACUGGGGCGGUCGCCUCCCAAAAAGUAACGGAGGCGCUCAAAGGUUCUCUCAGUACGGUCGGAAAUCGUACGAAGAGUGUAAAGGCAAAAGAGAGCUUGAUUGCAAGACAUACAGGUCGAGCAAGGACGAAAGUCGGACUUAGUGAUCCGGUGGUUCCGCAUGGAAGGGCCAUCGCUCA